Musa acuminata AAA Group (dessert banana) is the source of this 505-nucleotide long non-coding RNA. RefSeq lists it as uncharacterized. NCBI's taxonomy places the organism in Eukaryota, Viridiplantae, Streptophyta, Magnoliopsida, Zingiberales, Musaceae. The transcript has 5 exons. The record is from RefSeq and is a predicted model, not a curated record.
CAUUAUGGCUUCACCUCCUGAAUUACCAGCAAAGGAUUCUGACAUGCAAAUUUCUGAUCCACCUCGCUCAAAGAAAGAAUACUUUCAUCCAUGUCUACAAUAUCUGUUACAGCACAUCCUUGGCAUUAUCAUUAAAUAGGCCUUGGCCAAUAAUAUUCAACUGUGUGGUGGAGCCGGUAAAGGGAAGCAAAUUGAAAUGUGAAUUUGACCCAAAAAACAAAGUGGGUUGAUAAAGAAAAUCAGAUAAGGAAAAAGUAAAGACGGAAUCUACCUGCCUGAAUAUUCAGCUCAGAAAGCAAUACAGCACUCCAUGGACAUUUAUGCUACUUUGUUGAAAACUGAGGCAGAAAGCAUUUCGAGUAGUGAUUGAUUGGUACUGCAGCAAUUGGUCUUCGUUUGUUCUCUUCUUUACAAAGUGAAAUUAUAUAUGUAGGAAGAUUUUUAAAUUCUGAAAAUUUUGCACGAUUUUCUCAAGUAGAUACAUAUACAGGAAAUUUUUAUGUUC